Molecule: ribosomal RNA, 919 nt
Filed under: Hyalorbilia spermatophaga
Lineage: Eukaryota; Fungi; Ascomycota; Orbiliomycetes; Orbiliales; Orbiliaceae
Description: partial 28S ribosomal RNA
Rfam family: Eukaryotic large subunit ribosomal RNA
Source: RNAcentral
UUACCCGCUGAGAACUAAGCAUAUCAAUAAGCGGAGGAAAAGAAACCAACAGGGAUUGCCUCAGUAACGGCGAGUGAAGCGGCAAGAGCUCAGAUUUGAAAUCUGGUACUUUUAGUGCCCGAGUUGUAAUCUGCAGAGAGUACUUCGGCUUAGGCUCCGGUCAAGGUCCCUUGGAACAGGGCGACAUAGAGGGUGAGAACCCCGUACUCGGCCGUUUGCCAAUGCCAUGUGAAGUCUCUUCGACGAGUCGAGUUGUUUGGGAAUGCAGCUCUAAACGGGUGGUAAAUUCCAUCUAAAGCUAAAUAUCUGCGAGAGACCGAUAGCGCACAAGUAGAGUGAUCGAAAGAUGAAAAGCACUUUGAAAAGAGAGUUAAAUAGUACGUGAAAUUGUUGAAAGGGAAGCGCUUGCCAUCAGAAUUGGGGUAGGUUGAUCAGCGUUCCUUCUGGUUCGUGCACUCAGCCUACAUCCAUGCCAGCACCAGUUGUAGCGGCAGGAUAAAGGUGGUGGGAAUGUGGCUCUCUUCGGGGAGUGUUAUAGCCCAUCGCGUCAUGCUGCCAGCCGCGACUGAGGACCGCGCCCUAGGCAAGGGUGCUGGCUUAAUGGUUGUAAGCGACCCGUCUUGAAACACGGACCAAGGAGUCUAACAUCUAUGCGAGUGUUUGGGUGUUUAAACCCACACGCGAAAUGAAAGUGAACGGAAGUGAGAGCCCGCAAGGGUGCAUCAUUGACCGAUCCUGAUGUCUUCGGAUGGAUUUGAGUAGGAGCAUAGCUGUUGGGACCCGAAAGAUGGUGAACUAUGCCUGAAUAGGGUGAAGCCAGAGGAAACUCUGGUGGAGGCUCGCAGCGGUUCUGACGUGCAAAUCGAUCGUCAAAUUUGGGUAUAGGGGCGAAAGACUAAUCGACCAUCUAAUGUUCUAA